CGGAGUUUAGCGCAGUUGGUAGCGCGCUACGUUCGGGACGUAGAGGUCGCUGGUUCAAAUCCAGUAACUCCGA
RNAcentral lists this transfer RNA (73 nucleotides) under Salinivirgaceae bacterium. RNAcentral describes it as "tRNA-Pro". It matches the Rfam family "tRNA". From Rfam's summary of the family: Transfer RNA (tRNA) molecules are approximately 80 nucleotides in length. Their secondary structure includes four short double-helical elements and three loops (D, anti-codon, and T loops). The record is from RNAcentral. Lineage: Bacteria; Pseudomonadati; Bacteroidota; Bacteroidia; Bacteroidales; Salinivirgaceae.